Molecule: ribosomal RNA, 137 nt
Filed under: Physcomitrium patens
Lineage: Eukaryota; Viridiplantae; Streptophyta; Bryopsida; Funariales; Funariaceae
Description: rRNA 5_8S_rRNA
Rfam family: 5.8S ribosomal RNA
About the family: 5.8S ribosomal RNA (5.8S rRNA) is a component of the large subunit of the eukaryotic ribosome. It is transcribed by RNA polymerase I as part of the 45S precursor that also contains 18S and 28S rRNA.
Source: Rfam by way of RNAcentral
AACUCUCAGCAACGAAAAUCUUGGCUCUUGCAACGAUGAAGAACGCAGCGAAAUGCGAUACGUAGUGUGAAUUGCAGAAUUCCGUGAAUCAUCGAGUUUUUGAACGCAAGUCGAGGCUCGUUCCUGCUAGAGCGUCA